GUAGUUGUGGCCGAGUGGUUAAGGCGAUGGUCUUGAAAUCUUUUGGGGUCUCCCCGUGCAGAUUCAAACCCUGCCAACUACG
Molecule: non-coding RNA, 82 nt
Organism: Myxocyprinus asiaticus (Chinese sucker)
Lineage: Eukaryota; Metazoa; Chordata; Actinopteri; Cypriniformes; Catostomidae
Source: the annotation of a RefSeq genome assembly